GAUCCUGGCUCAGGAUGAACGCUAGCUACAGGCUUAACACAUGCAAGUCGCGGGGUAACAUCUGGUAGAGCUUGCUCUUCCAGGAUGACGACCGGCGCACGGGUGAGUAACGCGUAUCCAACCUGGCCCAUACCACGGGAUAGCCCGUCGAAAGGCGGAUUAAUACCGUAUGCUGUCAUUAAGAUGCAUAUAUUGAUGACGAAAGGACUGGCGGUAUGGGAUGGGGAUGCGUCUGAUUAGCUUGUUGGCGGGGUAACGGCCCACCAAGGCGACGAUCAGUAGGGGUUCUGAGAGGAAGGUCCCCCACAUUGGAACUGAGACACGGUCCAAACUCCUACGGGAGGCAGCAGUGAGGAAUAUUGGUCAAUGGGCGCAGGCCUGAACCAGCCAAGUCGCGUGAGGGAAGACGAUCCUACGGAUUGUAAACCUCUUUUGUCGGGGAGUAACGUGCGGGACGCGUCCCGUAUUGAGAGUACCCGAAGAAAAAGCAUCGGCUAACUCCGUG
This 505-nucleotide ribosomal RNA is filed under the name uncultured bacterium. RNAcentral's name for it is "bacterial SSU rRNA". It matches the Rfam family "Bacterial small subunit ribosomal RNA", at positions 15 to 507 of the family's 1533-position model. The record is from RNAcentral.